Molecule: long non-coding RNA, 404 nt
Filed under: Mytilus galloprovincialis (Mediterranean mussel)
Lineage: Eukaryota; Metazoa; Mollusca; Bivalvia; Mytilida; Mytilidae
Source: RNAcentral
GGGGGAGGGUCAACCCCAAAGUGUGCCUGUCGUUUUCCUAAAACUUUUGAAGUUUUACAAUUUUGUGUUCAAAACAUCUGUUAGUUAAGUAAUAUUAUCGGUCGCCUUAUCAGUAUGAAAUGACAGAUUUAUAGCCCUACUUAACCAUUUUAUAAUUGAGAGAAGAUAUGAAAUUUUCACUUUCUUGUGCAUGGAUUUAGGACUGGGUCGGCAUCGACUUGAAUUUUUGUGUCUAUCUUAUGUUAUUCACCUCAUAUGACAGUUGAAUCAAAAUUUAAAUUUUAAAGUACAAAAAAAGGCCUUUUUCUGAUAUCUAUAAACAUUUUUAGCUCAUAAAGUAGAAAAAAAAACAUGCAACAAUUACAAAUGAUAUUAUACCAAAAACAGUGAUACUAUUAUUCCCC